Lolium perenne is the source of this 3269-nucleotide long non-coding RNA. RefSeq lists it as uncharacterized. NCBI's taxonomy places the organism in Eukaryota, Viridiplantae, Streptophyta, Magnoliopsida, Poales, Poaceae. The record is from RefSeq and is a predicted model, not a curated record.
CUUAGAACAAUCCAGGAGGUCCACCGCUGCAUAGAUUUCCAAAAAGAAAAAGAAACGAAUAACCUUCUCACUUCCUCUCCAUCGCCGCCGUCAUCGCCCAAAUCUCCUCUUCCGUUGUUAGUCGGGCACGGUGCCCUCCCAUCUCCAUCCAUUCGCCACACCUCGAGCGCUCCAGCGGAAUUGGCCUCCUCACCGUCUCGCCCUGCCGGAAGAGCUCCAAGGGAGGAGCGCCGCCAUGGAUCAUCCCCGACAUGCCUUGCACAGGUCUCCACCCUUCCCGAGCGACCUUGCCCCGAGCGAGUUCGCCUCUUCCCCGAUUUUUGCCCCGAGCGAGUUCACCCUGCUUUUCUCAGCUCCCCCGCUGCCCCGCGAGUUUCGCCCCUGGCCCGAUUUUUGCCGCGCCCCUCCCCCUGUUCCUCUUCCCGGCUGCUGGCCUUCCGGUCUGGAUCAUGGACAGGAGCAGGGGCGGUUAAUUUCAGGCUGGAAAGGGUGCUGGUUAUGAAGGCUAGGGCCGAUAUGGUGGGGCGAGGCAGCCGUUUCUGACGUCUUCCAUGCUGAUGCGAUAGGUGGGGAGCACUGUCUCCAUGCGGAGAGAGUACAGUAGUGCAGUUGCUGAUGAAAUUCUCUGUAGGAAAAGGCCAGUUUGCUUCGUUAUUUCAAACUCCAAAAUACUCCUUUGUAUUGUUUCUUUUUCGUUAGGAAGAGUUGAGUGCUUCUAGAAUCAUGGGAUGUGGGAGUUAUUCAGCAAUUCAUAAUUUCAGAUUGAAGAACUUCAUAAGCCGCUUUCAUUUGUGAGCUGCCUUUACCUUCUCCACAUUUACAGUAGCCAUUUAUCGAUAGUAGUGAAAAUCAAGAUUAAUUGCGUUCCGGAAGAAACAUCGCCCCUACAGAAUAAUCAGUGUGCAAAAGUGCAUGAGGUUGAUCCGCAGCCCAAGAGUUUUCCUCUAUUUUCAUAUAAUGCACAAAACACUUAUAUCAGGUAUUUACUCUGCCUUAUAUUUGAUUUGCUGCCUGCAUUGUCCACUUUACCUUUUAGUCUCCCUUUGAACUGCCGGCAUGCUUAGGACAAUGUUAUUGUACUUUUUGUGGGCAUUGCUGCCACUUAUUAUUCAGGUAUAAUGAACCAGACAUGUAUUGACACAUUUUUUCAUUUUAUUACAGAUUAAACCGCUGGCGCUACUACCAGAAUGUUAUCUUUCAAGAGCACAUCCUUCACAUGUUGGCUUGGACAAAGGCUUCGGCUUCUCCAAGCACUUCUUCACCAAGUACAAUCCCAGUCACAAGGUUGGCCACAGCCAAUUGGGCUGCAGCUGCGCCGUCAAAGCAAAGAAGGCAAGCACAAGGGUCAGGAUGACCAUCAAGUUCAUCCCCAAGGCAAACGUCUGAUGCCAUUUCUCUCUGAUUAUUGCACACACUUUUUUUCGGACCUGACAUCAGUUUAACUGAUCACGAUUUUUGUGUCAUAUAUACCAUGUAGUUUAGAUCAGUUUUUUUUUGGUGCACUUGCCAAGUGAUUGAUGAUAGGUUUGGGAGAAUUUGUUUGUUGGAUGAAUAUUGCCCCUUAAAUCUUUGCAAGAUUUAGAGGUGUAUCAAUUCAAGCUCGAACAGAUCCCAUGGAUCAUAACCACAAGUGAGGUGCUCCUCCUCGACUUCAUAAGGGACAGGUACACGUGCAACUCAAAAAAGAAAAUAUCGAGAACAUUUCCUAUGUCUUUGUUUGAUGUGUGGUCCUGAUCAUUUUCUUAGUAUGUUGCUGUAGUUUCGAUAUAUGGUUGCCCUUCCCAUCCGAUUAUUUUGCAAAGCUGUCCAGGUACAGCAAAUGCCGCAUCGUUUCGUAGAUUGGUGUGGUCGUGUGGACGCGGUGGUCACGGCCGCCGUUCCGCUGUGACUAGCCUUUGUGCACACUGCUAGACACAUACAACAUGGAGUAAAAGGUUCGUGAUUGUUGGGGUUGGGUCUCCAGGACUGGAAUCAAUUCUCAGCUUGGUUUGAUUUAGGACGGCUUGAUCUCUUUUGCAGGCAUGGUCUGUUCAGUCCUCAUGCAGGUUAGGUUUGCUUCAAAAAUAUGUAUCAUGAGGUACUGAUAGCACACCAAUUAGUUCUGAUUUGGUACAAACGAAUUUUCAAUUGUUGAUCAUUGAUAUUUGCUAUAGGUUGUUGUAGAAAUAGGGCAUGGACACAGGCGCGGUUCUCUCCAUCUGAUCUCAUAUAUCCUGUUGGUAGUAGAGUUAGGACGUUGUCAGAUCUAGCCAAACGGAUCUUAAAAAAUGUUUGUCAAGAUCCCAACAGUUAUUUGGGGACAUUGAAGAUGUAAUAGCAGGUCUGCAUGUGGAUUUUGGUCAAAUACUUUUAUAAUAAAAUUACAGGAACACACUUAAGUGAUUAAAUUAAAAAUCUAAUACAAUGAAUUUUCACCGUUGAUGAUAGAAUUUUUAUGGAUGUGACCUCCACAGUAAGCGUUCUAGGAUGGAACAAACAUGAAAGUUUAAAUCGUCAGUUUUCUCCUGUUCUGGUGGCAUGGUAUUUCUUUAGUCUUAUUUAAUCUCAGAAUGAGGAAUGUCCUGUUGAGUUAGAGAAAGCGACCAGAGGUUGUGGAACUGAAAAUUUAGUCAAUAGAUUAGAGACAAAACAAGGAAAUUAGGUUUUGCAAAAUUAUCUUGGAGAAGUUGAUGGCUUCAUGCAAGGUCUAAAACAAAUAAUAUGCAGACUGUUGUUUGGGAAGUUACUCAAAAUAUCAAAAAGAGAUGAUGGGAGUACUAAACCAUAGGUGAUGAGAGUGUUGAAAGAGGUUACUGCCAAGUGCCAACAAUUAUUUCGGUAUCUCGAAGAGAAGACUACACCAGGGGUACAUGAUUCCUGGGACAUUGUACACGAAUUGAAUAAGAUCGGGAGAACAAGCCCUAUGUAUAUGCUGCGAAGUGGGAUUUAUCUGGAUGAGGAGAUGCAUGGCCUGUUAUGUAAAUGAAACUAGGGAAUGCCAUGUUCUUUGGAGGGCUUUCAGAAUGCAGUCCGCCCAUUUCUGAUUCCCUUCUUCCAUUGCCUUGAAGCGUGUUUCUUUCUAGGUAUUAUUGGUUGGCAAACUCAUUUAUAGGUCCAGGAGAACAUAAUGUCAGUCAAUGUUUGUAUCUUUUUUGCUUAUCAAGCAACAAUUUACAGUCAUUUCCCCUUUAUUUGGAAUCCCCAUUUUGCAUUGAAGCAACCAGACACACUAUACUUAUCUUUCACCUUCCAUUCUGAACGAAAUAGAAAUAGACUACAGUUGCGCGUCA